CAAAAGCCGGAGGGAAUCACACUAUGCCAGGAGGCAUAUGCAAAGAAGAUUCUUGAAAGCUGUAGCAUGGAGGACUGCAAUCCAAGUCAUGUUCCAAUGGAGCCUCGACUUAAACUUAGCAAGAAAAGCCAAACGCCCGCGGUUGAUGCAACGGAGUAUAGAAGUGUGGUUGGAAGCCUAAGGUAUCUUGUGAAUACACGACCAGACUUGGCAUAUUCUGUUGGCGUAGUGAGUCGCUUUAUGGAAGCACCCACGACAGAACAUUGGGCAGCUGUGAAACAAAUACUCAGGUACAUCAAAGGGACAACUAACUUCGGUUGUGUCUAUUUGAGAGAGAAGCGGAAGGAGAUGGUGGAGCUACUUGGCUACAGUGAUAGCGACUUGGCAGGAGAGGCAUAUUUCUUGGGAAGAAGCAUAGUGAGUUGGCUAUCACAAAAGCAGAAGGUGGUCGCAUUAUCAUCCUGUGAAGCGGAGUAUAUUGCAGCUGCAACCGCGGCAGGUCAAGGUGUGUGGCUAGAAAGGCUACUCGGUGACCUCACUGACAAGGAACCGGAAGGAGUGGUGCUCUACGUUGACAACAAGUCCAUGCUUGCUCUAUGUAAGAAUCCAGUGCAUCAUGAUAGAAGUAAGCACAUUGAUAUAAGGUAUCACUACAUACGGGAUUGCGUGGAAGAAGGCAAGAUUGAAGUCAACUACAUUUGCACCGACGAUCAGCUUGCAGAUAUCCUGACCAAAUCUUUGGGACGACAAAAGUUC
Molecule: ribosomal RNA, 756 nt
Filed under: Triticum aestivum (bread wheat)
Lineage: Eukaryota; Viridiplantae; Streptophyta; Magnoliopsida; Poales; Poaceae
Description: partial small subunit ribosomal RNA
Source: RNAcentral